The sequence is a transfer RNA, 92 nucleotides long. It matches the Rfam family "tRNA". Rfam says of the family: Transfer RNA (tRNA) molecules are approximately 80 nucleotides in length. Their secondary structure includes four short double-helical elements and three loops (D, anti-codon, and T loops).
UCUUCCUUGGUCUAGUGGUCAUGAUUUCCGCUUGUCAACAGCAAGUCUGUCGUCAAGCGCGGGAGACCGGGGUUCGAUUCCCCGAGGGAGAG